This 442-nucleotide ribosomal RNA is filed under the name uncultured bacterium. RNAcentral describes it as "partial 16S ribosomal RNA". It matches the Rfam family "Bacterial small subunit ribosomal RNA", at positions 338 to 795 of the family's 1533-position model. The record is from RNAcentral.
CCUACGGGAGGCAGCAGUGGGGAAUAUUGGGCAAUGGGCGCAAGCCUGACCCAGCAACGCCGCGUGAAGGAAGAAGGCUUUCGGGUUGUAAACUUCUUUUAAGAGGGAAGAGCAGAAGACUGUACCUCUUGAAUAAGCCACGGCUAACUACGUGCCAGCAGCCGCGGUAAUACGUAGGGGGCGAGCGUUAUCCGGAUUCACUGGGUGUAAAGGGAGCGUAGACGGUCAUGCAAGCCAGGGGUGAAAGCCCGGGGCCCAACCCCGGGACUGCCCUUGGAACUGCAAGGCUGGAGUGUGGGAGCGGCAGGCGGAAUGCCUGGUGUAGCGGUGAAAUGCGUAGAUAUCAGGAGGAACACCGGCGGCGAAGGCGGCCUGCUGGACUGCGACUGACGUUGAGGCUCGAAAGCGUGGGGAGCGAACAGGAUUAGAUACCCGAGUAGUC